This 253-nucleotide ribosomal RNA is filed under the name uncultured bacterium. RNAcentral's name for it is "partial 16S ribosomal RNA". It matches the Rfam family "Bacterial small subunit ribosomal RNA", at positions 524 to 776 of the family's 1533-position model. The record is from RNAcentral.
CACGUAGGGCGCGAGCGUUGUCCGGAAUUAUUGGGCGUAAAGAGCUCGUAGGCGGCCUGUUGCGUCCGCUGUGAAAGCCCGGGGCUUAACCCCGGGUCGGCAGUGGAUACGGGCAGGCUAGAGGUAGGUAGGGGAGAAUGGAAUUCCCGGUGUAGCGGUGAAAUGCGCAGAUAUUGGGAAGAACACCAGUGGCGAAGGCGGCUCUCUGGACCGUAACUGACGCUGAGGCGCGAAAGCCAGGGGAGCAAACGGG